UACGUAGGGGGCAAGCGUUGUCCGGAUUUAUUGGGCGUAAAGAGCGUGUAGGCGGCCAAGCAGGUCAGCUGUGAAAACUCGAGGCUCAACCUCGAGACGUCGGUUGAAACCGCUUGGCUAGAGUCCGGAAGAGGAGAGUGGAAUUCCCGGUGUAGCGGUGAAAUGCGCAGAUAUCGGGAAGAACACCCGUGGCGAAGGCGGCUCUCUGGGACGGUACUGACGCUGAGACGCGAAAGCGUGGGAGCGAACAGG
RNAcentral lists this ribosomal RNA (252 nucleotides) under uncultured bacterium. RNAcentral describes it as "partial 16S ribosomal RNA". It matches the Rfam family "Bacterial small subunit ribosomal RNA", at positions 524 to 776 of the family's 1533-position model. The record is from RNAcentral.